GACAGUGUCUGGUGGGUAGUUUGACUGGGGCGGUCUCCUCCUAAAGAGUAACGGAGGAGCACGAAGGUUGGCUAAUCCUGGUCGGACAUCAGGAGGUUAGUGCAAUGGCAUAAGCCAGCUUGACUGCGAGCGUGACGGCGCGAGCAGGUGCGAAAGCAGGUCAUAGUGAUCCGGUGGUUCUGAAUGGAAGGGCCAUCGCUCAACGGAUAAAAGGUACUCCGGGGAUAACAGGCUGAUACCGCCCAAGAGUUCAUAUCGACGGCGGUGUUUGGCACCUCGAUGUCGGCUCAUCACAUCCUGGGGCUGAAGUAGGUCCCAAGGGUAUGGCUGUUCGCCAUUUAAAGUGGUACGCGAGCUGGGUUUAGAACGUCGUGAGACAGUUCGGUCCCUAUCUGCCGUGGGCGCUGGAGAACUGAGGGGGGCUGCUCCUAGUACGAGAGGACCGGAGUGGACGCAUCACUGGUGUUCGGGUUGUCAUGCCAAUGGCACUGCCCGGUAGCUAAAUGCGGAAGAGAUAAGUGCUGAAAGCAUCUAAGCACGAAACUUGCCCCGAGAUGAGUUCUCCCUGAC
This 570-nucleotide ribosomal RNA is filed under the name Escherichia coli. RNAcentral's name for it is "partial 23S ribosomal RNA". It matches the Rfam family "Bacterial large subunit ribosomal RNA", at positions 2250 to 2819 of the family's 2925-position model. The record is from RNAcentral. Lineage: Bacteria; Pseudomonadati; Pseudomonadota; Gammaproteobacteria; Enterobacterales; Enterobacteriaceae.